Non-coding RNA from Leptonychotes weddellii (Weddell seal), 660 nucleotides. Lineage: Eukaryota; Metazoa; Chordata; Mammalia; Carnivora; Phocidae. The record is from RefSeq and is a predicted model, not a curated record.
UCAGGAACCCCAAAGCACUCACUCAUGGACCCUAAGUCAUAUGCCCCAGCAACUAGUGUUCUCUCCCUGCAUUCUGUCUUGACUUCCUUGAGUGGUCCCUCCAGGCAUGACCUGUUCUGCCUCCAGGAUCUGAAAUCUCUAAGAUUCCCAUCACCAUGGCCCCUUGCCCCUACCGUGCUCUGCCCUCACGCUCCAAAAACUCCUUCUGGGCACUCCAUCUUCUGGCUCAAGUCUGGAUUGGUUCCUUUCUGAAGCGGUGUCUUUGACAAAGGUCAAAAAGAGAAUUGGAACCAUCUUUUAGCAGACUUUACUUGGGGACUUCAAUAAUUGAGGACAGCCAAUGAUAACUGAAGUUUUAAGUUGCUAGAUUCAUUUAGAAGGUGGGGAUGGAGGAUAUCAACUGAAAAAAGAAAAAAGAGAAAUCAGUGGCAAUCUGGAGUUUCCUGAAAGAGAAUAUGGCCCUUUGGCAAUCAACAUACAAGGCAACGAAAACAAAAUGUGAAAAAUAUGAAAAGAGAUGUUAAGAGAUUGGUUAAGAAAGAUCAAUAUAGUAAACACUAUAGUUCUAAGUCUGUGUUAUAUUGAAUUAUGCCUCCCCCAAAAGAUAUGUUGAAGUCCUAAGCAUCAGUACCUCAGAAUGUGACCAUUUUGCACAUAGGG